UUGGUAACUUGAGCUAUGCAAGAAAAGAUGUUGGAGAGUAUUGGAAGAAUAAGAUGAAUGAGCAAGCUAUGCCAGAAGCAAUUAAAAACCUUGUUCAAGUUCAAAAACAAGACCAUUUUGUUAGGGACUUUGAUGUACAUCCUAAUAUCAUAUUAUAUCAUACACAUGUCCAUGAGAAACAGGAGAAGCCUUUGGCACCUUAAGUAAGGAGCUUAGAGUCGUUGUUACCAAAAAGGUUUGAAGUUAAACCUUAUAAAACUAAUAAACUAUAAAUUAGAUUCUUAAAUAUAUGUAGCCACCAAGGCAUUUGUUAUGACUAUAUGAACUAUGUCAUUAUUUGAAAUUUAAAAUGUCAUUUAUGUAUUGGCUUCUAGAAUUCUAUUAUGUAUGCCCAUAAAUAAAUAAAAAAAUAUCUUCCCUAUUGCUAACUUCAGUGUUUGAGAAUUAAAUCUCUAUGAAUUAAUAAUAUUGGGACCGUAAAUUUUUAUUUAUUUAUUUAGAUAGCUAUUAAUUAGUUAGUCAAUUAAUUAAUUAAUUAAUUAAACGACUGUUUCUUAAUUUCAAAUUCCUCUUGAUAGUGUUAUGUUAAUUAUAGGUAGUGUCGUUUCUAACGUACAUUAACAAUUAACUUUACAAUGAUAAUAGACUUAGCUUGAAAUUCCAAAAUAAGCAGUUAAAUCUCAAAUACAAGCUCAUUGUGUUUAAACACUAUAACUAUCAUUAAGGAUUAUCAACAUUUCGUUCCUCUAACAUAUGUACUUGUUUUAAGGAUUAUCGAUUCAUUAUAUUCUCGUCCGGAAGUGUUUGAUGAAAGUGGAAUUGUUGAUAAUCUCAUCCAGGGUGGUCCCUUAAGAUUUUGAGAGUAUGCACUGUAAUGCGAAACUUAGCUACGACCAGCAGAGUCACGGUUAUCUUAAAAUUUUAUUCUUUGUUAAAAAUAUAUAUAUGCACAAUAAUGUUUAUCUAUAAUAUAUGAUAUAUAUAAUUAAUUUAUCGUUAAUAAUGUUAAAUUGUAGAAUUACUUAAUAGUAAUAGAGACUUUUAUAUAUUUUAUGUCUAUCAAGGUUUAGCUCCCUCAAUAAAAUUUGUCAAGAUCCGUCACAAGUUAAUUUAGUGUCAUUUUUCUUUUUUCAUCAUAAAAGUUAAAGAUCACAUAAGUAUUGAAAAAAUUCAUAUCAAACCAAAAUCAAAAUUAAAUUAUAGUAAAACAUAAUUAAUAUUAUUAUAUAAUAUAUGCAAGUAUUAGAAAAACAAUGAAAUAUUUUAACAAACUAAUAUCAUAAAAAAACUUGAUUUUGAUUCAAUUGUUAAAAUAAAAUUUCACUAUCAAGAUUAUUAAGAUUAUUGAAUCACUAAACUUAUAAGAAUCACUAAAUUUCAAAUAAGUUUCAAGACUUUUACAACAUAAUUUCAAAUAUUCAUAGAAAAUGACUUUAGUAUUUCAAUACAAAACAAAAAUUAAAAAAUAUUCUCACAUGUUCUAUAUUGCUCUAAUAUUCUAUUAAAUUGGUCAAUUAUUUAAUCUACGAUAUAUAAAAAUAAUGAAUCUUAAAAAAUACUAUUUAGCAAUUUAGCAGUUCAAGGUUUUCCUCUAAAAAUAAUUAAUAAAAUUGUCUUUUGUCUAUCAAUGACUGAAUUGGUGUUUUUGUUUUUAUUUAGGCAUCAUUUUUAGAAUUUCUGAAAUUUAGGUUAGAGCUUUUUAGUGGAUAAAAAAACUAAAUGUAUAAUUUAGAUUGGUACAUGAAAGAAUAUUAUCCUAUAAUAACAUAGUAAAAAAUCAUCUCGAUCUUUUUUAUGAGACAGUUGAAUCAACAAAAAUUAAUUUAUUUAAUCAAUAUAAUUUUAGUAUAGAUCAGUAAUUAGUUUAUUUAAAAUUAUUUUAAUAUCGCAAUAUAACUUUUUAGGAUAUAUAUAUAUAUAUAACAACAACCGACUAAAUAUUUCAGAAUAGAUAGAUAAAGAGACAAAAUAUAAAGUUUCAUCUAGUUUUGUGAAACUUUAAAAUUUGGAUACUCAAGUUAGCAUCCAGGCAUACAACAAGUCCAAUUCUAAUUUUCUACAUUGGAAUUUUAAAAGCUAUAAAACAAAGCUUCCAUGCCAUCGUUAUAAAUAUUUAGAGACACCAUGUGGAAUUUUAAAUUAUGAACAACAUUAAAAACACCUAAAAGAUGCACCUAAAACAUGAGAAAGGGAUAUAAUGAAAGAUGGUCGAUUGUGUUGGAAAAAAAAAAUUGGUCGGUGUACACGGCUCUACUGAACAUAUAAUUAAAAAAAUGAUAAAUUUUGAUUUCUUUAUAUAUAUAAAUUUUGGCUGUUAUUAUUAUUUUUUCCCACUUGCAGAUAUGACUCUAGUGGGCAUAAAUUGAAGUAAAACUCUCCAAGAAACAAAAAUUUGACUUCCCUUGGAACUUCAAAUCUACUUAAUGAUGAUAACGAUCUCUUCAAUUGGUUAAUUUAAAAGUGCACGUGUACCAACUUUAACAUUAAUUAUCAAUAUGCACCUUCUACAUGCAUAUAUAUAUAUAUAUAUAUAUAUAUAUAUAUAUAUAUAUAUAUAUAUAUCAAUGGCUAUUGUGUCAAUCCAAAAGAAAAAUACUAAUCAAAUUACAUAAGGAAAAAAAUAAUGAAGUCCAACCUUUUUGCCUUGUUGCUUAUUUUCUCUCUUCUCAUGGUAAGCUUUUCUCUAUGGAAGUUUUUUUGAUUUUUUUGAUUUUUUUAUUAAAUUAAUUAGUUAACACUGUUAUUAUUAUUUGAGAUUUAAUUGAAUAUUUUUGUGAUGAUACCUUUGUUUUUAUAUUUUUCUAUGGUGAAAUGAAUAGGUUGGUAACAUGAGCAAUGCAAGAAAAGAUGUGGGAGAGUAUUGGAAGAAUAAGAUGAAUGAGCAAGUUAUGCCAGAAGCAAUUAAAAACCUUGUUCAAGUUCAAAAACAAGAUCAUUUUGUUAGGGAUUUUGAUGUUCACCCUAAUAUCAUUUUAUAUCAUACACAUGUUCAUGAGAAUAAGGAGAAGCCUUUCGAACCUUAAGUAAGGAACUUAUUAGAGUCAUUGUUACCAAAAAGGGUUGAAGUUAAACCUUAUAAGACUAAUAAACUAUAAAUUAGAUUCUUAAAUAUAUGGAGCCAUCAAGGCAUUGUUAUGACUAUAUGAACUAUGUCAUUGUUUGAUAUAUAAAAUGUCAUUUAUGUAUGCCGAUAAAUAAAUAAAUAAAUAUCUUCGUUAUUGUUAACUUGAGUACUUGUUAAUUUAUCCAUUUUUUUGUCCUGUACAUUAAUUCUUUUUAUUUUAUUUUUUAUGAUAAAUAUAGGUGUCAAUAUACUAUUUUAUUAUGCAUCUAUUUAUAUAAUUAUCAAGAUGGCUCUUGACAAUUUUAUAUUGUUCAAUUAAUCCUCACAAGAAAACUUGGAAGAAAUAAUUUCGUGAAUCACACUUUAGCCCUUUGAGAUUGUCUAAAACAUUUAUCUAUCUCUAUAUUGUAAAGUAUGUUGGUUUUAUAGGAAAAAAACUUGCUCCUAUUUUUUUUUUUUUGUUUUCAAAGGACUUAUGCGGUAUAUUUAUAAAUUGAUAUGAUUUAAUAUAAUUAAAUUAAUUAACCAAUAAUUAGAUUACACGACUUUAAUGAAUCAAUGCGAUUAAAUUAUAGAUUUAUCAUCACCAAAGCUUUUAAGUUUUACAUUUUGAAUAUAUUUUGAUUUGUUAUAUUUUUAAUUAAAAAUUUUAAUUAUAAAAAUAAUUUAUAUAAUUGUUGAGAAGUAAAAUAAAUGGACAAAUGUAUGUACUAUUGAGUUACUUAAUCUUUACUAUAUAAUAUAUUGACCGAUGACUUAGAAAGAAACUAACUCAAUUAUGAUAAAAAUUAUCAUAUGUUAUAUAUUAUCAAGGAUACUUAAGUGGCUUAACCUAAAAUUUUAUCGCUUACAAAGCUUAACGGUCUACUUCACUAACCAAACCGGCCAUAGAUCUGGUUCGGUUCACCGGUUUAAUUUAUCUUGACCAACUUUGAUCCAAUUUUAAAAACAUUGGAUAUAGUCCUACAAUUUUAAAUUGAGUAUUUACCCCUUUUAAUUUAGUUCAAAGUCUAAAAAAAAUUCAACUUUCAAGAACAGUAAAUUUUCCAUCUAUAAUUAAGUGUUGCUUAUCCAAAUUAGUUCCAAGAAUACAAACAGCCAUAUCCAUUUUUUAAAUUUGUGAUUCAAAGUUUUGACCAAUAAAAAAGGCUCACACUUAAUAGUUUUUAAUGUAUAUUUUUUUCUUCACUAGUAGUUUUUAUUUUUUUUGUCCUCUUCAUUGUCACGAUUACAUAUAAAAACAGUGUGUUGUUUUCUUUGGUUUUUUUUUUUUUUUUGUAUAAAUCAAAUUUUAAAAAUAUAAAUUUAAUAUCUUGAUUUGUACUGUAAAAAUACAAAUAUUCACCAUAUGGAUAAUUUUGAAAAGAGAAAAGUAUUUGAUGUAAGAAUAGAUUAAUUAACAAACUAGAAAAGAGAAAUACAUUCAAUAAUAAUAAUAAUAAUAAUAAUAAUAAUAAUAAUAAUAAUAAUAAUAAUAAUAAUAAUAAUAAUAAUAAUAAUAAUAAUAAUAAUAAUAAUAAUAAUAAUUCUUACGUUUUUUUUUUUUUUUUGUAUAAAUCAAAUUUUAAAAAUAUAAAUUUAAUAUCUUGAUUUGUACUGUAAAAAUACAAAUAUUCACCAUAUGGAUAAUUUUGAAAAGAGAAAAGUAUUUGAUGUAAGAAUAGAUUAAUUAACAAACUAGAAAAGAAUAAUAAUAAUAAUAAUAAUAAUAAUAAUAAUAAUAAUAAUAAUAAUAAUAAUAAUAAUAAUAAUAAUGUGAAAACAAUGACAAUGUGUAAGCAUUAAAUAUUUAACAUAAUCCUGGAAAACACAAAAUUUAAAACUGAUAAGAAAUAAACAAAUUGCAGAAUUCAAUACUAUAGAGGAUAAGGAUGAUAGUAUAACAUAAAUUGAAGUAUAACUCUCCAAUUAACAAAAAUUUGACUUCCCUUGGAACUUAAAAUCUACUUAAUGAUGAUAACUCUCUUUAAUUGGUAAAUUUGAUAAUGCACGAGUAUCAACUUUGACAUCUGUUAUUAAUAUUAAUAUGCACCUGACUCUGAAUAUAUGCAUAUGUAUAUAAAUAGACACACCAUGUCUAUUCUAUUGCGUCAUUCAAAAAGAAAUAUACUAAUCAAAUUACUAACAAAAAAUGAAGUCCAAUAUCCUUGCCUUGUUCCUUCUCUUCUCUCUUGUCAUGGUAAGUUUUUCUUUAUGGAAGUUCUUUUCAUUUUUUCAACUAAUUAAUUAACUCUGUUAUUAUUUUUUGAAUUUUAAUUAAGUAUGUUUUAAUUAAAUAUGUUCAUUAUUUUUUUUUUUAAAUUUUAUUGUCUAUGGUGAAAUGAAUAGGUUGGUAACUUGAGCUAUGCAAGAAAAGAUGUUGGAGAGUAUUGGAAGAACAAGAUGAAUGAACAAGCUAUGCCAGAAGCAAUUAAGAACCUUGUUCAAGUUCAAAAACAGGACCAUUUUGUUAGGGACUUUGAUGUACACCCUAAUAUCAUAUUAUAUCAUACACAUGUCCAUGACAAGAAGCAGAAGACUUUUGAACCUGAAGUAUAGAAAUUGGAGUCAUUGUUACCAAAAAGGGGUUGAAGUUAAACCUUACAAGGCAUUUUUAUGACUAUAUGAACUUUGUCAUGAUUUGAUAUAAAAAAUGUCAUUUAUUAUGUAUGCCGAUAAAUAAAUAAAAAAUAUUUUCUCUGUUAUUACUAACUUCAG
This 5761-nucleotide long non-coding RNA is filed under the name Cicer arietinum (chickpea). Its description in RNAcentral is "long non-coding RNA (CARI_LNC000607)". The record is from RNAcentral. Lineage: Eukaryota; Viridiplantae; Streptophyta; Magnoliopsida; Fabales; Fabaceae.